This 553-nucleotide long non-coding RNA is filed under the name Ananas comosus (pineapple). Its description in RNAcentral is "long non-coding RNA (ACOM_LNC004210)". The record is from RNAcentral. Lineage: Eukaryota; Viridiplantae; Streptophyta; Magnoliopsida; Poales; Bromeliaceae.
UGGGGUGGGGUUUGUUAUUCCACCUAUUCCAACCAAACACUAUUUUUUAUUAUUCUGAGCUAACUCCAACCCCGAAUCAAACAGAAAAUACUCUAACUCCACCUUAACCCUGAACUUAACCCUAUUCAUAGAAUAACUAGUUUUUUCUUAACCCCAAACCAAAUGGUAGCAUAGAGUUGAGCUCCUAUAUUUUUAAAAGUAUCAAGUGAUUGUUGGGCCCUCAGAUUAAGGAAUUUGCAAUUAGGAUGAUAAUGGUCUCCUAGAAUUUAGCGAAUGGUUGGGUAAAUAAUAUAAUCCAACGGAUAAAAAUAGUCAAAGGAAUAGAUCUAACGGCGAAAAAUUUACAAGUACCAAAUGCCAUACCUAGACUCACACAUCUUAUAUACACCAAGCCGAUAAUAUUAUGCCAUGUAAAAUAGUAAAUAGUUCAAUAAAAGGAUAAUAUGACAAUACUAUGUUAAAAAUAAUGACGAUAAAAAAUUAUCAUACAUUUAUGUAAUAUACAGAUAUUUAAUCGAAUAUUAUUAUUUUUAUAUAAAAUAAUUGGAGUAGA